AUUGAACGCCGGCGGUAGGCCUAACACAUGCAAGUCGAACGGCAGCACAGUAAGGGCUUGCUCUUACGUGAGGCGAGUGGCGGACGGGUGUGGAAUCCGUCGGACUGUACGUUUUAGUGGGGGAUCACCUAGGAAAGCUAACGCUUAUCCCACAUACUCCCUACAGGUAAAAGCAGGAGAUCUUCGGCCCUUGCCCGCUGAAGUGCCCCGAUGGCGGAUUAGCUAGUUGGCGGGGUAAAGGCUCACCAAGGCGACGAUCCGUAGCUGGUCUGAGAGGAUGAUCAGCCACACUGGAACUGAGACACGGUCCAGACUCCUACGGGAGGCAGCAGUGGGGAAUAUUGGACAAUGGGCGCAAGCCUGAUCCAGCCAUACCGCGUGGGUGAAGAAGGCCUUCGGGUUGUAAAGUCCUUUCGGUGGGGAAGAAAAGAAGAAGGUUAAUACCUCGCCGUUUUGACGUUACCCAAAGAAUAAGCACCGGCUAACUUCGUG
RNAcentral lists this ribosomal RNA (492 nucleotides) under uncultured bacterium. RNAcentral describes it as "partial 16S ribosomal RNA". It matches the Rfam family "Bacterial small subunit ribosomal RNA", at positions 30 to 507 of the family's 1533-position model. The record is from RNAcentral.